RNAcentral lists this ribosomal RNA (858 nucleotides) under Triticum aestivum (bread wheat). RNAcentral describes it as "partial small subunit ribosomal RNA". The record is from RNAcentral. Lineage: Eukaryota; Viridiplantae; Streptophyta; Magnoliopsida; Poales; Poaceae.
AUGGCGGCCGCCACCGGCACCAAGCAGCAGCAGCAGCAUCCGCACCCAGCUCCACCACCGGGGGCAACGGUGGUGGACCCCAAGUUCGAGUGGACGGAGAGGGCCGGCACCUACGUACUCCGCCUCACCCUCACCGGCUUCAGGAAGGACGACUUCCGGGUGCAGGUCGACGGCGCGGGCAGGCUCACCAUCCGCGGCACCAGGCCGGGCGCCUCCCUCCACAAGGUCUUCCAGCUGCCCUCCUCCGCCAGCCUCGACGACAUCGCCGGCCGCUUCGAGGCCGGUGUGCUCACGCUCACCAUGCCCAAGCGUGCCGGUGCGCCCAAGGACGAGGGUGCGCCAACAGAGCAGGUCGACGGCGACGUGAAGACGGGAGACGCCGGCGGUGAGAAGAAGGUGCCCAAGCCCGCACCUUCCGGUGAUGCGGCGCCCACAUCCAUCGAGGAGAUCAGAACGAAGCCCAGGGAAGAGCAGCAGAAGGCUCCCCAGGCGGCAGCAGCUGCGCAGACGCCGGAGAAGCAGGCACCGAAUCCAACCUCCAGCGGCAAAGCCAUGGCGGUGGUUGACCGGGAGCGCCUGGCGGAGACGGUGAGGCGACGCGGCGAGGAAGAGAGGGCCAAGGCUGCUGCGGUGGCGGCGGCCAUGGAAGAAGCUAGAGCAGAGCAGGAGAAGACGGCGGCGGCCACGGCGUGCAGCCGCUGGAAAGAGCGCAUGACGGAAGGCCUGGGGCAGCUGACGGACAUGAAGUGGGCGGAGGGCGCAAUGGAGAUGGCGAGGAAGAACAAGGAGGUGGUGGCCGUUGGCGUCGCCGCCUUCACAUUCGGCUUCUUCGUCUCCCAGAGGCUCUUCAAGAAGUGA